RNAcentral lists this ribosomal RNA (553 nucleotides) under Rhodotorula mucilaginosa. RNAcentral describes it as "LSU rRNA". It matches the Rfam family "Eukaryotic large subunit ribosomal RNA", at positions 87 to 656 of the family's 3401-position model. The record is from RNAcentral. Lineage: Eukaryota; Fungi; Basidiomycota; Microbotryomycetes; Sporidiobolales; Sporidiobolaceae.
CGGCGAGCGAAGCGGGAAGAGCUCAAAUUUAUAAUCUGGCACCUUCGGUGUCCGAGUUGUAAUCUCUAGAAAUGUUUUCCGCGUUGGACCGCACACAAGUCUGUUGGAAUACAGCGGCAUAGUGGUGAGACCCCCGUAUAUGGUGCGGACGCCCAGCGCUUUGUGAUACAUUUUCGAAGAGUCGAGUUGUUUGGGAAUGCAGCUCAAAUUGGGUGGUAAAUUCCAUCUAAAGCUAAAUAUUGGCGAGAGACCGAUAGCGAACAAGUACCGUGAGGGAAAGAUGAAAAGCACUUUGGAAAGAGAGUUAACAGUACGUGAAAUUGUUGGAAGGGAAACGCUUGAAGUCAGACUUGCUUGCCGAGCAAUCGGUUUGCAGGCCAGCAUCAGUUUUCCGGGAUGGAUAAUGGUAGAGAGAAGGUAGCAGUUUCGGCUGUGUUAUAGCUCUCUGCUGGAUACAUCUUGGGGGACUGAGGAACGCAGUGUGCCUUUGGCGGGGGUUUCGACCUCUUCACACUUAGGAUGCUGGUGGAAUGGCUUUAAACGACCCGUCUUG